AUAGGAAAAACACAAUGAAAACUCACAUAGUUGCAAUUUCGAUGAUGAUUAUGUUGGGUUUUGUACAAAUUCUACAAACUGAGGCACUCAUCCCAUGUACUAUAACAUGUGGCUUAAAGUGUUUGAUUUCUUCUCUACCCUAUGGCCUGUGUUGGGUUCCGUGUGUUAUAAAAUGUGAAAUAAUUCCAGGCGCUUUAGAUUGUGUUAAAGGUUGUGGCGUCAACAAAACCGUCACCAUUGAUAUUGAUGCUGCUGGUAAGGUAUCUAAUGUGGUUGAUUCUUGCUUGCAAAAGUGUUCCAAGU
This 303-nucleotide small RNA is filed under the name Vigna angularis var. angularis. Its description in RNAcentral is "Non-protein coding transcript". Lineage: Eukaryota; Viridiplantae; Streptophyta; Magnoliopsida; Fabales; Fabaceae. The record is from RNAcentral.